RNAcentral lists this ribosomal RNA (253 nucleotides) under uncultured bacterium. RNAcentral's name for it is "partial 16S ribosomal RNA". It matches the Rfam family "Bacterial small subunit ribosomal RNA", at positions 524 to 776 of the family's 1533-position model. The record is from RNAcentral.
UACGUAGGGGGCAAGCGUUGUCCGGAUUUAUUGGGCGUAAAGAGCGUGUAGGCGGCCUGAAAGGUCAGCUGUGAAAACUCGAGGCUCAACCUCGAGACGUCGGUUGAAACCAUCUGGCUAGAGUCCGGAAGAGGAGUGUGGAAUUCCCGGUGUAGCGGUGAAAUGCGUAGAGAUCGGGAGGAACAUCAGUGGCGAAGGCGGCCAUCUGGGACAACACUGACACUGAGGCACGAAAGCGUGGGGAGCGAUCCGG